RNAcentral lists this ribosomal RNA (634 nucleotides) under uncultured bacterium. RNAcentral's name for it is "bacterial SSU rRNA". It matches the Rfam family "Bacterial small subunit ribosomal RNA", at positions 848 to 1482 of the family's 1533-position model. The record is from RNAcentral.
UAGCUAACGCAUUAAGUUCCCCGCCUGGGGAGUACGGCCGCAAGGCUGAAACUCAAAGGAAUUGACGGGGCCCGCACAAGCGGCGGAGCAUGCGGAUUAAUUCGAUGCAACGCGAAGAACCUUACCAAGGCUUGACAUAGCCGAGAACGCUGUAGAGAUACAGAACUCUUUGGACACUCGGUUACAGGUGGUGCAUGGUUGUCGUCAGCUCGUGUCGUGAGAUGUUCGGUUAAGUCCGGCAACGAGCGCAACCCUCGUCCUAUGUUGCCAGCACGUUAUGGUGGGAACUCAUGGGAUACUGCCGUGGUCAACACGGAGGAAGGUGGGGAUGACGUCAAGUCAUCAUGCCCCUUAUGUCUUGGGCUUCACGCAUGCUACAAUGGCCGAUACAAAGGGCUGCGAUACCGCGAGGUGGAGCGAAUCCCAAAAAGUCGGUCUCAGUUCGGAUUGGGGUCUGCAACUCGACCCCAUGAAGUCGGAGUCGCUAGUAAUCGCAGAUCAGCAACGCUGCGGUGAAUACGUUCCCGGGCCUUGUACACACCGCCCGUCAAGUCAUGAAAGUCGGUAACACCCGAAGCCGGUGGCCUAACCCUUGUGGAGGGAGCCGUCGAAGGUGGGACUGGUGAUUAGGACU